Molecule: transfer RNA, 56 nt
Filed under: Ictidomys tridecemlineatus (thirteen-lined ground squirrel)
Lineage: Eukaryota; Metazoa; Chordata; Mammalia; Rodentia; Sciuridae
Description: Spermophilus tridecemlineatus (thirteen-lined ground squirrel) tRNA
Source: Rfam by way of RNAcentral
UAGCUCAGUGACAGAGCAUAUACUUAGAAUGCAUAUGCCCUGGGUUCAAUCCCCAG